UAUCCGCUAGGUUACGCUUUUUUGAUUUCAGUAGACAUUUUUCAGUGAAGCAGACGUGUGCGAAGAUUUAAGGCUCCGGCGCUUUUUUAUUUAAUCACAAGAGUACUAUGGCAGACAGGUUUACAGACAAUGCCAGUGUACGGAAAUGUCAUGUCGACAUGGUGCAAUCACUAUCUUCAUGGAUAUAUCCAGGAGAUGGUGGCAAAUGGGAGGAAUUUCAAAACCAAAUGACACUGCAUCUGGGACACGACAAAGUGUAUGGUGUAACACAGAACAGUAUGACUAAAAUUUGCCAGUGUCUUAUGGAUAAGCGUGUCAUUGGUUAUGGUGAAUACACUGUACUGCGAGCAGCGUUCAUAGAUAUUGGCAGAGUUCAAGCAGCUGAAGUUAUCGACGAGGCUUUGAAAGAAAUGGAAUCCCUUCGAUGACAAUAGAGGAAAUAAAUGGUUGACAUACUUGACAUACACUUCAUCAACCAUUAUAUUCGUAAUAAAAUUUGCAUUUGAAAAACAA
Molecule: long non-coding RNA, 513 nt
Organism: Mizuhopecten yessoensis (Yesso scallop)
Lineage: Eukaryota; Metazoa; Mollusca; Bivalvia; Pectinida; Pectinidae
Exons: 2
Source: RefSeq, a predicted model, not a curated record